GAUGAACGCUGGCGGCGUGCUUAACACAUGCAAGUCGAACGGUGAACACGGAGCUUGCUCUGUGGGAUCAGUGGCGAACGGGUGAGUAACACGUGAGCAACCUGCCCCUGACUCUGGGAUAAGCGCUGGAAACGGCGCCUAAUACUGGAUAUGUGACGUGACCGCAUGGUCUGCGUUUGGAAAGAUUUUUCGGUUGGGGAUGGGCUCGCGGCCUAUCAGCUUGUUGGUGAGGGAAUGGCUCACCAAGGCGUCGACGGGUAGCCGGCCUGAGAGGGUGACCGGCCACACUGGGACUGAGACACGGCCCAGACUCCUACGGGAGGCAGCAGUGGGGAAUAUUGCACAAUGGGCGCAAGCCUGAUGCAGCAACGCCGCGUGAGGGAUGACGGCCUUCGGGUUGUAAACCUCUUUUAGCAGGGAAGAAGCGAAAGUGACGGUACCUGCAGAAAAAGCGCCGGCUAACUACGUG
Molecule: ribosomal RNA, 469 nt
Filed under: uncultured bacterium
Lineage: Bacteria
Description: partial 16S ribosomal RNA
Rfam family: Bacterial small subunit ribosomal RNA
Source: RNAcentral